CCUACGGUGGGCAGCAGUGGGGGAUAUUGCACAAUGGGGGGAACCCUGAUGCAGCGACGCCGCGUGUGGGAAGACGGUCCUCUGGAUUGUAAACCACUGUCCCCAGGGACGAAACUGACGGUACCUGGGGAGGAAGCUCCGGCUAACUACGUUCCAGCAGCCGCGGUAAUACGUAGGGAGCGAGCGUUGUCCGGAAUUACGGGGUGUAAAGGGAGCGUAGGGGGGGAUUAAAGUUGGGUGUCAAAACUACCGGCUAAACUGGUAGUCGCACCCAAAACUGCAGCUCGUGAGUGAAGUAGAGGCAGGCGGAAUUCCUAGUGUAGCGGUGAAAUGCGUAGAUAUUAGGAGGAACACCAGUGGCGAAGGCGGCCUGCUGGGCUUUUACUGACGCUGAGGCUCGAAAGUGUGGGGAGCAAACAGGAUUAGAUACCCUUGUAGUC
This 440-nucleotide ribosomal RNA is filed under the name uncultured bacterium. Its description in RNAcentral is "partial 16S ribosomal RNA". It matches the Rfam family "Bacterial small subunit ribosomal RNA", at positions 338 to 795 of the family's 1533-position model. The record is from RNAcentral.